Molecule: ribosomal RNA, 904 nt
Filed under: uncultured archaeon
Lineage: Archaea
Description: bacterial SSU rRNA
Rfam family: Archaeal small subunit ribosomal RNA
Source: RNAcentral
CCCGACUGCUAUCGGGGUGGGACUAAGCCAUGCAAGUCGUACGUCCCUUGGCUGCAGGGGGCGUGGCGCACGGCUCAGUAACACGUAGUCAACCUACCCUAGGGAUGCGGAUAACCCCGGGAAACUGGGACUAAUCCGCAAUAGGCCAGGGCUACUGGAACGUGCCUUGGCCGAAAGGGCUGUGUGGGCAUGCUCCACAUGGCUGCCCUAGGAUGGGACUGCGGCCGAUCAGGUAGUUGGUGGGGUAAAGGCCCACCAAGCCUAUAACCGGUACGGGCUCUGAGAGGAGGAGCCCGGAGAUGGAUCCUGAGACAAGGAUCCAGGCCCUACGGGGCGCAGCAGGCGCGAAACCUUCGCAAUGCGCGAAAGCGCGACGAGGCCACCCCGAGUGCCACCCGCUAAGGGUGGCUUUUCCCAGGUCUAAAAAGCCUGGGGAAUAAGGGGAGGGUAAGUCUGGUGUCAGCCGCCGCGGUAAUACCAGCUCCCCGAGUGGUCGGGACGAUUAUUGGGCCUAAAGCAUCCGUAGCCGGCUCGGUAAGUCCCUCGUUAAAUCUAACGGCUCAACCGUUGGGCUGCGGGGGAUACUGCCGGGCUAGGGGGCGGGAGAGGCCGGCGGUAUUCCGUGGGUAGGGGUAAAAUCCUCUGAUCCACGGAGGACCACCAGUGGCGAAGGCGGCCGGCCAGAACGCGCCCGACGGUGAGGGAUGAAAGCUGGGGGAGCGAACCGGAUUAGAUACCCGGGUAGUCCCAGCCGUAAACGAUGCGGGCUAUGCGCUGGAUCGGCUACGGGCCGAUCUAGUGUCGCAGGGAAGCCGUUAAGCCCGCCGCCUGGGGAGUACGGCCGCAAGGCUGAAACUUAAAGGAAUUGGCGGGGGAGCACCACAAGGGGUGAAGCCUGCGGUUU